CGGCUACCACAUCUAAGGAAGGCAGCAGGCGCGUAAAUUACCCAAUCCUGACUCAGGGAGGUAGUGACAAGAAAUAGCAAACCGGGAACCUCAUGGUUUCACGGUAUUGCAAUGAGAACAAUUUAAAACCCUUAGCGAGAAUCAAGUGGAGGACAAGUCUGGUGCCAGCACCCGCGGUAAUUCCAGCUCCACUAGCGUAUAUUAAAGUUGUUGCAGUUAAAAAGCUCGUAGUUGAACCUCUGUCUGGGCUAGUUUUGGCUUUGGUCAGGCUAGUUCUAGGCAUCCGCCUACAAGACUUAGAGGGCAUUCAGUUGUUCACUAGGAGGAGUAGGCAUUUUACUUUGAAGAAAUUAGAGUGUUUAAGGCAGGCAAUCGCCCGCAUAUAUUAGCAUGGAAUAAUAGAAUAGGACACUUUUCCAUUUCGUUGGUUAUUGGAAUCGUGUAAUGAUUAAUAGGGACAGUUGUGGGCAUUUGUAUUUAAUUGUCAGAGGUGAAAUUCUUGGAUUUAUUAAAGACAAACUAACGCGAAAGCAUUUGCCAAGGAUGUUUUCAUUAAUCAAGGACGAAAGUUAGGGGAUCAAAGACGAUCAGAUACCGUCCUAGUCUUAACUAUAAACUAUUCCGACUCAAUGUUUGACUGGCUUAUAUAACCAGUUGAGCGUUGUAUGAGAAAUCAAAGUCUUUAGGUUCUGGGGGGAGUAUGGUUGCAAAGCUGAAACUUAAAGGAAUUGACGGAAGAGCACAACCAGGAGUGGAUUCUGCGGCUUAAUUUGACUCAACACGGGGAAACUUACCAGGUUAAAACAAUAGUGGGAUUGACAGUUUGAGAGCGCUUUCUUGAUUGGUUGGGUGGUGGUGCAUGGCCGUUCUUAGUUGGUGGAGUGAUUUGUCUGCUUAAUUGCGUUAACGAACGAGACCUUAACCUGCUUACUAGACUGGCGAUCAUCAAUCGUUAGCUCUUCUUAGAGGGACUUUGGUUGUUUUAACUCCAAGGAAGUUUGAGGCAAUAACAGGUCUGUGAUGCCCUUAGAUAUCCUGGGCCGCACGCGUCAUACAAUGACUAGUUCAGAAAGUUUUCUCCUGACCCGAAAGGGGAUGGGUAAUCUUGAUAAUACUAGUCGUGUUAGGGAUCGAUCUUUGCAAUUAUAGAUCUUGAACGAGGAAUUCCUAGUAAGUGCGGUUCAUCAGACCGUACUGAUUACGUCCCUGCUCUUUGUACACACCGCCCGUCGCCUCUACCGAGUGGGUGGUCCGGU
This 1256-nucleotide ribosomal RNA is filed under the name metagenome. RNAcentral describes it as "SSU rRNA". It matches the Rfam family "Eukaryotic small subunit ribosomal RNA", at positions 404 to 1702 of the family's 1831-position model. The record is from RNAcentral.